RNAcentral lists this long non-coding RNA (528 nucleotides) under Nicotiana benthamiana. RNAcentral's name for it is "long non-coding RNA (NBEN_LNC024744)". Lineage: Eukaryota; Viridiplantae; Streptophyta; Magnoliopsida; Solanales; Solanaceae. The record is from RNAcentral.
AUUGACGUUAUGUGUUUUAAAACAUAUGGCGUCAAUUAAAAAUCAGCUCGACGCCUUAAAAUUUCCAGCUCGAACCCUGAAUCGUAGAUCCGCAAUUCGUCUCGUUUCUUUAAGAUUCAAAGUUAAUUGGCUUGUGUUUCAGGUUGAGGGAGUCGAAGAGACUAUAGGGUCCAAUUUUGAGCGAAUUCGGACAACGUAUCAGUUUGGACAGAUCUUCAAAUCAAUAGUCAAAGCAUUUGAUGAAGAUUCGAGGGAAACAUAAUGUAUAUUGGGUAUGAGGAGGAUGAGAGGAGUAAGAGGUGUUAAUUGGGUCAGCUCUGGGUGAGUUUGUGUUUUGGCCGGAUCUUAGAUCUAAAAUUCGAGACGACCGGCUAAUAUUUUAAUAAAAGGGAUUUGAGGGUUCCAAAGAGGAGGAGAAAGAGGUUCUAAGGUGUAAAUUUCAAGGGAUUUGGAGGUGGGCCACCGGCGGCGGCGUUAGGUGGUGGGUGGCGGAGCUGGCUAGUGAAGACAUUGGUACGAGGAAGGAUU